This is a long non-coding RNA of Scophthalmus maximus (turbot), 1783 nucleotides long. The record is from Ensembl. Lineage: Eukaryota; Metazoa; Chordata; Actinopteri; Pleuronectiformes; Scophthalmidae.
UGAGAUAUAAGACACUUCAUUUAAUUAUAUGAAAUGCUUUUGUUUUGUUUUCCUGUGUGCUUGUAUGUUUUGUCAAAUGUUCUAUUUUUUUUAACAUUCGCUCAGUCGUUUUGUACUACAAUUCUAAGCGAAAAAAUUGUAUAAGUUUUGAUUGAUACACAAUAAAGAUAUGAAGGGGAAAAAUUAGUAAAAUACAAGUACGUUAACCCCCAGUAAAUAGAAAUACUUGUAAAAUAAAAACUAAAAACAGUGCUACAUGCUGGACAAGAAAGGUUCCUGUACUUUCAUAAAGUACCACCUUCCUCCUGAGCAGGGACGUUGUGGGGGUGAAAUGAGUCCCCCCCCGGAACUUUAAUUGAGAUCCUGUUCCCUGUGGUGGAAACGCAUGGAGUCAAAGGUUCCUAGUUCCUGUGGAAAGUUGUAGUCAUCACUCCGGCCAAGCAUUUAAGCCCCUUCUCUAUUGUUGAUGAAACAACCCCCCAAGUAGCUUUGGGGGCGUGUCGUUCAAUCAGCUGAUCUUGUGACGCACCUGCACUUGGCGCGGGAGAGGAGCGUCAGAGCGAGCGCGCCAAUUACCUGUUGUUGUUGUUGUGGUGGUGGUGGUUAGCAUCUGGAGGAAGCUAGAGAUCCACGUCACUAUGACGAGACGCGAAGUCCGAGGAUACAAGAAGCUUUUUGAAAAGAGAGAGGGUGAAGAGUCGACAAGUGGCGCAGCUGGAGCUAAAGGAGGAGGAGGAGGAGGAAGAAGAGGAAGAGGAGGAGAAGGAGGAAGAGGAGGAGGAAGAGGAAGAGAAGGAGGAGGAAGAGGAGGAGGAAGAGAAGGAAGGAAGGAGGAGGAGGAGGAGGAGGAGGAGGAGGAGGAGGAGGAGGAGGAGGAGGAAGAGAAGGAGGAGGAAGAGGAGGAAAAGGAGGAGGAGGAAGAAGAGGAGGAGGAGUUUUCUCCUGUCGGCGAAGCAGCAGGUUGGACGGCGUGGGCUACUCAACUGUCUUCAAUUGUAUCAACACAUGAGAGGGAAACUCGGGAGCCUCUCCCCUUCUCCAAAACCCCAUCGGCAGAAGCCACACAUCUCCGUGUAUUUGAUUGCCACAUCCAGCACCUGAACUAAAGUGAGUUUGUCGUUUUCGAGCAUAUUUGGCGUUGGGAGAUCAGUGAUAGUGCGCGAGGCUAACGGUAGCCGGCUCGAACCCUGUCAUGUUGGCUGUUCCACAGCUGAUGUAUGGAGCUGAUUCCUGGCGGGCCGCGCUGCGCCGCCUGGAUUUGUUUAACCCGGCAGAUCAACCUUCAGACAGGAGCAUGUGUGCAGGUAAUGGCUGCCAGAUGAGGUGAGGCCAGCUCUUAGAAGCCAAGUGGAUGCUACAGAGGAGGAGGAACGAAAAGAAAAAAAAGCCCACAUGCAUAUACAAACAAGCGCAUAGCCCCUGGAACUGUUAUGAAAGACAACAACAAAUGUGCAAAUAAAAAAAGUCAAUAUUUAAUGGCAUCACAGCCCACAUCUUUUGGAGGCGGUUCAUUGAGAGUUUAAGUUUUUGGAUUUUCAAAAUGUUGAUAUAAACCUCAACUUAAUUCUAGGCUCCAUUUGCCGUUGUGAUUCCAGCGUGGCUACGAGCCAGGCCCCGGCGCGCCGGCGGUUGCCAGGUCCUAUCUGGACACUGGCUGGCAGUGAGACGUGAAUGGACACGGGCUCAGGGCAAGGUUGCCAGGCGAUGUCUGGACAUUGGUUUGACCCGACCGACCACCGUCUAGCAGAAUGAACGGCCCCCUGUGAUGAGGAUACACUAGAAC